GCGGGAGCCGGCGGCUGGGGCGAUGGAGCCGAGCCCCGCCGUGUCCCCCGGGCCUUCUCGCUCCUUCAAGGAGGAGCUGCUCUGCGCCGUCUGCUACGACCCUUUCCGCGACGCCGUGACUCUGCGCUGCGGCCACAACUUCUGCCGCGGGUGUGUGACCCGCUGCUGGGAGGUGCAGGUGGCCCCUACCUGCCCGGUGUGCAAGGACCGCGCGGCCCCCGGCGACCUGCGCACCAACCACACCCUCAACAACCUGGUGGAGAAGCUGCUGCGCGAGGAGGCCGAGGGCGCGCGCUGGACAGGCCACCGCUCCCCGCGCCUCUGCCGCCUGCACCGCGGCCAGUUCAACCUCUUCUGCCUCGAGGACAAGGAGCUGCUGUGCUGCUCGUGCCAGGCCGACCCCCGGCACCAGGGGCACCGCGUGCAGCCGGUGAAGGACACUGCCCACGACUUUCGGGUAAGCGCGACCCGGGUGCGGGAGGUGGCCGAGCGCGCACGUGGACUGGAACCCAGCAUCCCCGACCCCGCUGCUCCCGCCACUCCAGCCGGCCAGAGCUGGGUGUGCCCGGUCCUGCCUCUCUUCCUGCUGCCAGCUGGCUGCUGCCUCCUCGGGGCCCCUACUCCCUGACUCUGGUAACCCGCAGAGGCUGCCUUCUUCAUCAGGGCUAGCCCAGGAGGCCUGAGAUGGGAGAAGAGAGAAUGUCAACAGGAAUUGUGAGAACUGGGGUUGUAGGGUGUUCUCAAGACAGUCCCGCCCACCUCUGAAGGGCUGAGGCCACGCACCUUUUCUACCAGCCGGGUGGGGCCGGUAGGAACAAGGUGUGGGUAAGCCCAGGAACCCUGGAACUGGGCACACUCAGGGUAGAGGUGCAGCACCCCAAGACCUGGCUGGGAUAUGGAGCCUUUAGCCUCCCCCCCCCCCUCCAUCCCUUCCCGAGCUGGCCCAAUGUGUUGUGUAGCUGUGGGGAGGUCAGCGGGUGUAUUUUCCAUCACUUUCUCAGCAUCCCCACGCCUAGAGUUCCAGUGGCUAUAAAUAGAGGGAGGAGCAACUUGUAGGGCAAAACUAACAUGGAGAAUUU
This is a non-coding RNA of Vicugna pacos (alpaca), 1079 nucleotides long. NCBI's taxonomy places the organism in Eukaryota, Metazoa, Chordata, Mammalia, Artiodactyla, Camelidae. The record is from RefSeq and is a predicted model, not a curated record.